Molecule: ribosomal RNA, 2644 nt
Filed under: bioreactor sludge metagenome
Description: bacterial LSU rRNA
Rfam family: Bacterial large subunit ribosomal RNA
Source: RNAcentral
UCAAGCUAGUAAGGGUGUGCGGAGGAUGCUCUGGCGCUGAGAGGCGACGAAGGACGUGGUCAGCUGCGAUAAGCCCCGGGGAGGUGCUAACAACCCGAGAUCCGGGGAUCUCCGAAUGCGGAAACGCUGCGCGGGUCGAUUCCGCGCAAUCCGGCGAUGAAUUCAUAGUCGACGGAGGCUAACGGGGCCAAUUGAAACAUCUUAGUAACCCCAGGAAGAGAAAGAGCCAUCGAUGCCCCCAGUAGCGGCGAGCGAACGGGGCUCAGCCCAAACCAUGUGCAUGCCAAGGCCAGACCGUUGUGCACGUGGGGUUGCGGGACUUCUGCCCGGCGCCUGGACGCCGGCGCGAGUUACAAAGCGAAGAUCUAGCCGAAGCUUCUGGAAUGCUGCGCCACAGCGGGUGAAAGCCCCGUAGGCGAAAGAUCCGAGCCUCGCGAAGAAGCUCCCAAGUACGGCCGGACACGAGAAACCCGGCCUGAAUCCGGCGGGACCAUCCGCCAAGGCUAAAUACUCCUCAGCGACCGAUAGUGCAGUAGUAGCGUGAGCGAAGCAGUGAAAAGAACCCCUGUUAGGGGAGUGAAACAGGUCCUGAAACCGCACAUCUACAAUCUGUGGGAGCCCUAUGCCGGCCUUCGGGCCGGAACGGGCGACCUCGUACCUUUUGUAUAAUGGGCCCGCGAGUUAAUCUGCACGGCGAGGUUAAGGGCUUCAGGCCCGGAGCCGAAGCGAAAGCGAGUGCAAACAGCGCGAUUCAAGUCGUGCGGAUUAGACCCGAAUAGAUGUGAUCUAUCCAUUGCCAGGAUGAAGCGGCCGUAACAGGCCGUGGAGGUCCGAACCCGUUGGUGGUGAAAAAUCAUGGGAUGAGCGGUGGAUAGGCGUAAAAGUCGAGACAAACAUCUCAAUAGCUGGUUCUCCCCGAAAUGUAUUUUGGUACAGCGUCGCGCCAUUGACCGACGGAGGUAGAGCUACUGAAUGGGCAGGGAGCCCUCACGGGUAUCCGGCCUAACCAAACUCCGAAUUCCGUCCGGUUGUACCGCGGCAGUGAGUCCUUGGGGGAUAAGCUCCAUGGACGAGAGGGAAACAGCCCAGAUCGACGGCUAAGGCCCCCAAAUCAUGCUGAGUGCAAAAGGAAGUGGGAAUGCAAAGACAGCCGGGAUGUUGGCUUAGAAGCAGCCAUCAUUUAAAAAGUGCGUAAUAGCUUACCGGUCGAGCAUUCCCGCGCCGAUAAUAAACGGGACUAAGCAUGAUGCCGAAGCCUCGACUGUGCGUCGCCUGCGGGCGACGCACGGGGUAGGGGAGCGUCGGACCAACCGUUGAAGGAGGACCGUGAGGACCUCUGGAGGACGUCCGAGUGAGUAUGCGGGCACGAGUAACGAGAAACGCAGUGAGAAUCUGCGUCGCCGUAAACCCAAGGUUUCCUGGGCAAGGUCAUUCCUCCCAGGGUCAGUCGGAACCUAAGGCGAGGCCGAAAGGCGUAGUCGAUGGAAGACGGGUCAACAUUCCCGUACCAGUGCGCGUGCGUUCGAUGCCGAGGAGGGGUGGAGGAGGCUAGACGAUCCGGGGACCAGUGGUCCCGGUUCAAGCCCGUAGGGUGGGACGUAGGAAAACCCGCGUCCCGCAAGCCCGAGAGGUGAUGACGAGGCCGAUUCUGCGCCGAAGUCGUCGAUGCCAUGCUUCCUAGAAAAUCUUCGCGGCUAGCACGAGUACUGUCCGUACCGCAAACCGACACAGGUGGGUGGGGUGAGUAUCCUAAGGCGCUCGAGAGAACCAUGGUUAAGGAACUCGGCAAAUUUGCUCCGUAACUUCGGGAGAAGGAGUGCCUCUUUGCGUCAUGGGCUUCGCGCCCGGCAGCGCUGGGGGGCCGCAGUGAAAGGCGAGCUGGAACUGGUUAUCAAAACCACAGGUCUGUGCGAAGGCAUGACGCCGAUGUAUACAGACUGACGCUUGCUCAGUGACGGAAGGUCAAGGUGAGCGGUUAGCCGCAAGGCGAAGCUGCGAACUCAAGCCCCGUUAAACAGCGGCCGUAACUAUGACGGUCCUAAGGUAGCGAAAUUCCUUGUCGGGUAAGUUCCGACCCGCAUGAAUAGCGUAAUCACAGCUCGACUGUCUCAACCAUGGACUCGGUGAAACUGCAGUUGUGGUGAAAAUACCAUGUACCCGCGGCUAGACGGAAAGACCCCGUGAACCUUUACUGUAGCCUAUUACUGUGUUUAGACAUCUCAUGCGUAGGAUAGGUGGGAGACGUUAUACCGACGGGUUCCGGCCCGAAGGAAGUCAACGGUGAAAUACCACCCUUGAGGUGUUUGAAUUCUAACCUCGUUCCGUGAAACCGGGCGAGGGACCGUGGUAGGUGGGCAGUUUGGCUGGGGCGGUCUCCUCCCAAAUCGUAACGGAGGAGCCCAAAGGUGCACUCAGUGCGGUCGGCAAUCGCACGUCGAGCGUAAAGGUAUAAGUGCGCUUAACUGUGAGACCGAUGGGUCGAACAGAUGCGAAAGCAGGGCUUAGUGAUCCGGCGGAUCCGGAUGGAAGGGACGUCGCUCAUCAGACAAAAGGUACUCCGGGGAUAACAGGCUGAUCUCCUCCAAGAGUCCAUAUCGACGAGGAGGUUUGGCACCUCGAUGUCGGCUCAUCGCAUCCUGGGGCU